AGCGAACGCUGGCGGCAGGCCUAACACAUGCAAGUCGAACGAACUCUUCGGAGUUAGUGGCGGACGGGUGAGUAACACGUGGGAACGUGCCUUUAGGUUCGGAAUAACUCAGGGAAACUUGUGCUAAUACCGAAUGUGCCCUUCGGGGGAAAGAUUUAUCGCCUUUAGAGCGGCCCGCGUCUGUUUAGCUAGUUGGUGAGGUAAAGGCUCACCAAGGCGACGAUCAGUAGCUGGUCUGAGAGGAUGAUCAGCCACAUUGGGACUGAGACACGGCCCAAACUCCUACGGGAGGCAGCAGUGGGGAAUCUAGCGCAAUGGGCGAAAGCCUGACGCAGCCAUGCCGCGUGAAUGAUGAAGGUCUGAGGAUUGUAAAAUUCUUUCACCGGGGACGAUAAUGACGGUACCCGGAGAAGAAGCCCCGGCUAACUUCGUG
RNAcentral lists this ribosomal RNA (433 nucleotides) under uncultured bacterium. Its description in RNAcentral is "partial 16S ribosomal RNA". It matches the Rfam family "Bacterial small subunit ribosomal RNA", at positions 29 to 507 of the family's 1533-position model. The record is from RNAcentral.